CAAUAGCGUAUAUUAAAGUUGUUGCGGUUAAAAAGCUCGUAGUUGGAUUUCUGCUGAGGACGAUCGGUCCGCCCUCUGGGUGAGUAUCUGGCUCGGCCUUGGCAUCUUCUUGGAGAACGUUACUGCACUUGACUGUGUGGUGCGGUAUCCAGGACUUUUACUUUGAGGAAAUUAGAGUGUUUCAAGCAGGCGCACGCCUUGAAUACAUUAGCAUGGAAUAAUAAGAUAGGACCUUGGUUCUAUUUUGUUGGUUUCUAGAGCUGAGGUAAUGAUUAAUAGGGAUAGUUGGGGGCAGUCGUAUUUAACUGUCAGAGGUGAAAUUCUUGGAUUUGUUAGAGACGGACUACUGCGAAAGCAUUUGCCAAGGAUGUUUUCAUUGA
RNAcentral lists this ribosomal RNA (380 nucleotides) under uncultured eukaryote. RNAcentral describes it as "partial 18S ribosomal RNA". It matches the Rfam family "Eukaryotic small subunit ribosomal RNA", at positions 592 to 976 of the family's 1831-position model. The record is from RNAcentral.